CGGUCUCUGUUAGAACAUGAAAGGUGUCCAGCAGAUCCUUGGGGCCAUUCAGUUUUCAUCCCGUAUGUGUGGGGCUGUGCGUGCGAACUUACACACAUGCACAAUCACACACACACGUGCCCUGUCUCACCCCUACACACUCGCCGCUCAGACACAGCAAGUCAGUGUCAUUAAAAUGCCAGGCCAUGCCUCUGCCUCCUCGCAGAGCCCACGUGACCCUGCUGAUCAGAGGAGGCCACGAGUCCGGAGGGUGAGCCCUGGCAUCGGUCCACUGCUCUCCAUGGCAACCUGGCUGAUACCUGUUUAUAUAUUACAUCUAGUGAAUUCUGAAGUGUCUCACUGAUAGAACAUGGGCUGUAAGAAGAAAGAACACCCUUGCAAACCUGAUCAAAUCUCCCAUGCGGUGCUGAAGGCGCUGGUGGACGGAGGGAUUAACAUCCAGCAGGUCUGAAAGCCAGUGUCCCCACGGGCCCAACAGUUAACAAAGGAGUGAAGAGGGCUAGACCAGCCACCAGCCCGCACUUCCUGAGGGAUUCCCGCCCGCCAGACGCGGUCCAAGCAGGUUCCGGACGCUGACUCAGCCAGUCCCCCAGCCCUGUGGUGUGGUUUCGUUACCGUUUCCCUGUAGAAGGGGAAGGACCCGGGGAGGGACCCAGCAAGUGGCCUGUGGACAAUGCGGCACAGGAGUUUGGGUGGCAGAUCCUCGGUCUCCAUGUGGGGACGAUAGGGGGAGGGGUGGAAUCGGUGGCAAACUGCAGAGCACGAGCCUGUCUAAAGGGGCUGCUGCCCCGGCCUCGGUGCCACCGCAAGCU
Molecule: long non-coding RNA, 812 nt
Organism: Lagenorhynchus albirostris (white-beaked dolphin)
Lineage: Eukaryota; Metazoa; Chordata; Mammalia; Artiodactyla; Delphinidae
Exons: 3
Source: RefSeq, a predicted model, not a curated record